This 500-nucleotide ribosomal RNA is filed under the name uncultured bacterium. Its description in RNAcentral is "partial 16S ribosomal RNA". It matches the Rfam family "Bacterial small subunit ribosomal RNA", at positions 29 to 523 of the family's 1533-position model. The record is from RNAcentral.
AACGAACGCUGGCGGCGUGCCUAACACAUGCAAGUCGAACGCGAAAGUCCUUCGGGAUGAGUAAAGUGGCGCACGGGUGAGUAACACGUAGGUGACCUACCUUUUAGUACGGAAUAACCAGAAGAAAUUUUGGCUAAUACCUAAUACGAUCAGUGAUGAUGAAAGUGUGCCUCUGCAUAUGCACACGCUAAAAGAUGGGCCUGCGGUACAUUAGCUAGUUGGUGGGGUAAUGGCCUACCAAGGCGACGAUGUAUAUCCGGUCUGAGAGGAUGAUCGGACACACUGGAACUGAGACACGGUCCAGACUCCUACGGGAGGCAGCAGUGGGGAAUAUUGCGCAAUGGGGAAACCCUGACGCAGCAACGCCGCGUGAGUGAGGAAGGACUUCGGUCUGUAAAGCUCUGUUAAUGUGGAAAAAUGUUGAUUGGUCUAAUAGGCCGAUUAGUUGAUGGUACACAUAGAGGAAGCACCGGCUAACUUCGUGCCAGCCGCCGCCGUAA